AUUGAACGCUGGCGGCAUGCCUUACACAUGCAAGUCGAACGGCAGCGGACCUUCGGGUGCCGGCGAGUGGCGAACGGGUGAGUAAUAUAUCGGAACGUACCUUUCAGUGGGGGAGUAACGUAGCGAAAGUUACGCUAAUACCGCAUAUUCUGUGAGCAGGAAAGCAGGGGAGUCGCAAGACCUUGCGCUGAUUGAGCGGCCGAUAUCAGAUUAGCUAGUUGGUGAGGUAAAGGACUCACCAAGGCGACGAUCUGUAGCGGGUCGUGAGAGGAUGAUCCGCCACACUGGAACUGAGACACGGUCCAGACUCCUACGGGAGGCAGCAGUGGGGGAAGUUUUU
Molecule: ribosomal RNA, 340 nt
Filed under: uncultured bacterium
Lineage: Bacteria
Description: bacterial SSU rRNA
Rfam family: Bacterial small subunit ribosomal RNA
Source: RNAcentral